UUGAACGCUGGCGGCAUGCCUUACACAUGCAAGUCGAACGGUAACAGGGAGCUUGCUCCGCUGACGAGUGGCGAACGGGUGAGUAAUGUAUCGGAACGUACCUUCAGUGGGGAUAACGUAGCGAAAGUUACGCUAAUACCGCAUAUUCUGUGAGCAGGAAAGCAGGGGAUCGCAAGACCUUGCGCUGAUUGAGCGGCCGAUAUCAGAUUAGGUAGUUGGUGAGGUAAAGGCUCACCAAGCCAACGAUCUGUAGCUGGUCUGAGAGGACGACCAGCCACACUGGAACUGAGACACGGCCCAGACUCCUACGGGAGGCAGCAGUGGGGAAUUUUGGACAAUGGGCGAAAGCCUGAUCCAGCCAUGCCGCGUGAGUGAAGAAGGCCUUCGGGUUGUAAAGCUCUUUCGGCUGGGAAGAAAUCGCACAGGCUAAUACUCUGUGUGGAUGACGGUACCAGCACAAGAAGCACCGGCUAACUACGUG
RNAcentral lists this ribosomal RNA (481 nucleotides) under uncultured bacterium. Its description in RNAcentral is "bacterial SSU rRNA". It matches the Rfam family "Bacterial small subunit ribosomal RNA", at positions 30 to 507 of the family's 1533-position model. The record is from RNAcentral.